GCGCCCGUCGUUGGGGAGUAGCYRAUUUCCUGYACUGCRGGAAAUGUACGUGUCAACAUACUCGUUGAAAAACGUGGCGCGUACGGAUCGUUUUCWGCACACUUACUGUGCCAAAAGCGAUCAGGCGAGACCAUAGAUACAUCAACUGCUGUUUACUGGGGGCAGUGAUGUGUCAUAUGGAUAUCCCCCGGUCU
This 194-nucleotide small RNA is filed under the name Microbacterium sp. RNAcentral's name for it is "Manganese sequence". It matches the Rfam family "Manganese Mn2+ riboswitch aptamer (yybP-ykoY)". Rfam says of the family: This RNA was originally discovered in E. coli during a large scale screen and was named SraF. The family was later found to exist upstream of related families of protein genes in many bacteria, including the the yybP and ykoK genes in B. subtilis. The record is from RNAcentral. Lineage: Bacteria; Bacillati; Actinomycetota; Actinomycetes; Micrococcales; Microbacteriaceae.